Molecule: ribosomal RNA, 541 nt
Filed under: Pisaura mirabilis
Lineage: Eukaryota; Metazoa; Arthropoda; Arachnida; Araneae; Pisauridae
Description: partial 16S ribosomal RNA
Rfam family: Bacterial large subunit ribosomal RNA (bases 192-492)
Source: RNAcentral
AAAAACAUUUCUAUUAGAAAUUAUUAAUAGUAAAAUCUGCUCAAUGAUAAAUUCAAUAGCCGCAUUUGUGCUAAGGUAGCAUAAUCAUUUGUCUUUUAAUUGAAGACUAGAACAAAAGAUUUAACUUUUAAAUUAAUAUUUUAAAUUUAUAAUUUUAAAUUAUCUUAAAUGUAAAAAGACAUUUAUAAUUAAGAAAGACGAUAAGACCCUAUUGAACUUUACUUUAGUUUAACUGGGGUAGUUAAUUAAUUAUUAUUUUAAUAAAAAUAAUUUUAAAAUUCGACCUAAUUUAAUUAAUUAAAUAAUUAAGUUACCAUAGGGAUAACAGCGUAAUUAAAUUUUUUAGAUCUUAUUUGAAAUUUAGAUUGCGACCUCGAUGUUGAUUUAAUUUCCUAAUUUACGCAAUAGUUUAUUAAGGAAGUCUGUUCGACUUUUAAAAAAUUACAUGAUUUGAGUUCAGACCGGUGUAAACCAGGUCGGUUUCUAUCUUCUAAAUAAUUUAUUUUUACAGUACGAAAGGACCUAAAAAAAUAAAUUCAUU